ACGGACGGCGGAUUCACGUAGAAUGCGCCGGACUGAUCCCAUCCCGAACUCAGAAGUGAAACGACGCAUCGCCGAUGGUAGUGUGGGGCUUCCCCAUGUGAGAGUAGGUCAUCGUCAAGC
Ribosomal RNA from Pseudomonas sp., 120 nucleotides. The record is from Rfam. Lineage: Bacteria; Pseudomonadati; Pseudomonadota; Gammaproteobacteria; Pseudomonadales; Pseudomonadaceae.